This 263-nucleotide long non-coding RNA is filed under the name Helianthus annuus (common sunflower). RNAcentral describes it as "sRNA HanXRQr2_Chr16g0752721". Lineage: Eukaryota; Viridiplantae; Streptophyta; Magnoliopsida; Asterales; Asteraceae. The record is from RNAcentral.
GAAGAAAAGUAAAGUAGAGUUGCAGAGAAAUAAGGACAUGGAUGCAAUAGUUAUCGUUUUAUUUGAAGGAUAUGCACAUGCGACUUGUACCCGAUAACCUCAAAUCACUUCAAGAUCUGUAAAAGGAAAGAAGAUCCGAAGAAGUGGGGUGACGAUUCUAAAGUUUGAUACAUUUUUACAUUAUACAGAUUUUUAUAAUUCAUUAUUCAUAAAUUUGUAAGUUACGAUUUUUUGUUUUAGUUAUAUAUAUAUAACAUGAUAGU